ACGACCUUACUUGAACAGGAUCUGUUCUAUAGGUUGUACAAUUGUAUCCUUGAGUUCUAAGGAGACAAGAACCUAAGUCUGGUGGAUGAGUUCUUGCCUUGUGACUAGAGCGUGAGUAAUGGCUUAAAGACCCAUGGUCUGGCGGCUGUAGAGGAUCGUUCUUGGCAGGUAUGUCUUGCUGGGUUGGUUGCAUGGUGGUCUGACGGACU
This 209-nucleotide small nucleolar RNA is filed under the name Cucumis melo (muskmelon). RNAcentral's name for it is "Plant small nucleolar RNA U3". It matches the Rfam family "Plant small nucleolar RNA U3". Rfam says of the family: Small nucleolar RNAs (snoRNAs) are involved in the processing and modification of rRNA in the nucleolus. There are two main classes of snoRNAs: the box C/D class, and the box H/ACA class. Lineage: Eukaryota; Viridiplantae; Streptophyta; Magnoliopsida; Cucurbitales; Cucurbitaceae. The record is from Rfam by way of RNAcentral.